This 27-nucleotide non-coding RNA is filed under the name Mus musculus (house mouse). Lineage: Eukaryota; Metazoa; Chordata; Mammalia; Rodentia; Muridae. The record is from RNAcentral.
UAGAAAUCUUGGGAAUGUAUUCAUGCC